Octopus bimaculoides (California two-spot octopus) is the source of this 1590-nucleotide long non-coding RNA. The record is from RefSeq and is a predicted model, not a curated record. NCBI's taxonomy places the organism in Eukaryota, Metazoa, Mollusca, Cephalopoda, Octopoda, Octopodidae.
CCCUUUCAACCAUUCACUCAGCAGCGAAAGAAAAUGGUGGACUUUGCGAGGAGGAUGCGUCGAGCAUCACCAUCAGCAGCAUCUCCCUCCGCCUUCCCCUCUUCCUCCUCCUCAUCAUCAUCAUCAACAGCAACGAGAGUAUAAAUGAAUAUCAACUUAACAACAGAAACAGCAACAACAAAAGUUACUAUUAAAUCGACAACAACAACAACAACAACAACAAAGCCAUGAAGUGCAAACAAUGGACGAAUCCUUCGUACUUUAAAAAAACACACGGAGUAUACGGUUUCAAUCCCCGCAGGCAGCAGCUGAGUUUAUAAUUUCGACACUAAGGAGUACUCUUUUUAGUAAAUGUAACAGUGAGGACCAAUGAAUACAUGCAUGUACUCUUUUUAGUAAAUGUAACAGUGAGGACCAAUGAAUACAUGCAUGUACUCUUGGUAUGGCUACAUUGAGUAAGUUUGUACUCGACAGGUUAAGGAGUACAACUAGUUGUGUGACCAGCAAGAAUCUUGUUCCUUUCAGAUGACAGCAAUAACAACAACAACAUCAACAACGAUGAUUACAACAACAAGCUGACCUCGUGACAACACUUGGAUAAGGAGUCUUACAUCCAGUGCCAUCUACCGGAGGAACCAUUUCUGCUAAAAUGGUAUUGGGAAGUUUAUACAGCUGACACCGUACUAUGAAUUUGAUCUGAGUGUGGAAUUAGAAAGCGCAUUGCUUAAUGUAGUCCAAGAUAUACUAUGCCCACGAGAAGGCAGAGAUUGCCAUAGACAGUUUUUAUCAUGGGCCUGCUCAACUGGGCAGACCUAGGGUUAAACAACAACAGCAAGUGUUUAUAGGAAGUUGUUGCAGUGGUUUAUAGCACCCGGAUGUUUACAUGUGCAAGCUUUCUGAACGACCAAUAUUUGGAUGAUAACCGGAAGUAAGCAUUUACUUUGAGAGUAAUGUGUGGUACCGGAAGUUUGUAUAUGGAUGCUACUUUAGUACCCGGAAGUUAUUGGGAGUUGAUGCCAUAUGGAUUGUACCGGAAGAUGACCCACCGUUGGACAUUACAUGAACGCGUGGUGCUUUCCAUACGAUGUUGCAGUGGCUAUGAUGCAUGUCUUGUAGAACGAAGAUAUGUGACAGUUUUAUAGUAGAAACGCCAACAGGAAUAAAUUCAGUUGAUGACUACGGAAGUAUCAGUCUUACACAACCGGAAGUACAACUAUUUCGGAAUAUAAGCUCUGUCAUGGAUUACCCUCGAUGAACAUUUACCAAAAGUUGGACGAUUUACAGUUGCCAUUUGUCUACAAUUAACUCGAAAAGGGAUACAAAAUUGUCCAAAACAUUACCCCGACUAAGCCAAUGGACAUUACUGUGUAGUGGGAGGUCUGCAUAUUCGCUGUCCAAUUCUUGCAGAAGGGACUUAAAUUAUCUGUGAGUCAGUGAAGAACAAGAAACUAUGAAGUUAACUAUUUUCACAACAGUCUCCAUCACAGAACUCAAGUUUUGUGACGAAAUUUUCGCAACUAAAUUUUCCUGAUGUAUAAUGCAAUUAAAACUCAUUACAUUGCAAUUAAAACUCAUUACAAUACAAUUAAA